RNAcentral lists this ribosomal RNA (582 nucleotides) under uncultured Legionella sp. RNAcentral describes it as "bacterial SSU rRNA". It matches the Rfam family "Bacterial small subunit ribosomal RNA", at positions 102 to 681 of the family's 1533-position model. The record is from RNAcentral. Lineage: Bacteria; Pseudomonadati; Pseudomonadota; Gammaproteobacteria; Legionellales; Legionellaceae.
ACGGGUGAGUAACGCGUAGGAAUAUACCUUAAAGAGGGGGACAACCUGGGGAAACUCAGGCUAAUACCGCAUAAUUUCCGAGGAAAGAAGCUGGGGACCUUCGGGCCUGGCGCUUUAAGAAUAGCCUGCGUACGAUUAGCUAGUUGGUAGGGUAAAGGCCUACCAAGGCGACGAUCGUUAGCUGGUCUGAGAGGAUGAUCAGCACACUGGGACUGAGACACGGCCCAGACUCCUACGGGAGGCAGCAGUGGGGAAUAUUGGACAAUGGGGGGAACCCUGAUCCAGCAAUGCCGCGUGUGUGAAGAAGGCCUGAGGGUUGUAAAGCACUUUCAGUGGGGAGGAGGGAUGCUAGGUUAAGAGCUAGGCAUUUGGACGUUACCCACAGAAGAAGCACCGGCUAACUCUGUGCCAGCAGCCGCGGUAAUACAGAGGGUGCAAGCGUUAAUCGGAAUUACUGGGCGUAAAGGGUGCGUAGGUGGUUUGAUAAGUUAUCUGUGAAAUCCCUGGGCUUAACCUGGGCAGGUCAGAUAAGACUGUUGGACUCGAGUAUGGGAGAGGGUAGUGGAAUUUCCGGUGUAGCGG